This 1086-nucleotide long non-coding RNA is filed under the name Helianthus annuus (common sunflower). RNAcentral describes it as "hypothetical non coding rna". The record is from RNAcentral. Lineage: Eukaryota; Viridiplantae; Streptophyta; Magnoliopsida; Asterales; Asteraceae.
AUGUUGUUAUUAAUUUUCAUCAUUUAAUUCGUGAAUGAGAGUGGCAAAAACGUAAGGUUCAAUGCUAUAGCAAUUAAUUUGUUUAUGUCUUUUUAGCUUCUUAGGUUGGAAUAUUUCUUUUAUUAAUUUUAAUUACAGAAGUACAAAAAUCCUAAAAUCAAAUGUAAUUAAAUUUGACAGAAUAUAAUUUAAAAGAAAAACGAUUAUGUAGUUUUCAUAGUUUAAAAUAAUGCAGUUAACGCCCUGGGUCUCACUAUUUCUAUACCCCUAAAAUCUUAUUUUCACACCCCUAUAUGUAUAAGCCCGUAUAAAGUUAUACGGGUCGUAUAACUGAUUGUUUCACAAAAAAAUGUUAGGGAGUGUUUUUUUGUCCAUGUAUACAGGCCGUAUAAAGUUAUACGACCCGUAUAUAAUGUUAUACGACCUAUAUAAUGUUAUACGACCCAAAUCUCAUGUAAUGUUAUAUGACCAUUAGAAUGUUAUACAACCCGUAUAGAAUGUUAUAAGGCCUAAUAUUUUUUCUAUGACGAGCCAUAUAACAUUAUACGGCUAAAUAUUUGUCAUAUUACAUUAUUCUAUACAGGCCGUAUAACGUUAUACGGGCCGUAUACAAGGUGUGAAAUUAAGAUUUUAGGGUGUGGGAUUAUUAGGACCCUUAUAUAAUACAUGAAAACAAUUCAUUAAAAAUCAAACACAUUCAAAGACUUCAAAUUUUCUUUUAAAAUUUUCAAGUUUUGUUACGAUUUUUGAAAAGUGAUUUUGAAGAUCUUUUUGUGUAAAUGUUUAUAGCAUUCAAAUAAAUAAAACGUAACUACAGUUUCAUAUGUAAUUUAAAAUCAAGUUUCUUAACUUUUUAACUUCUAACCUUUUAAACAUAGAGGUUGAAAAAGUAAGAAGUGUUUUAUAUAAAACAUGUUGUGAACAUUUAUAAUUUUAUAAAAGUGACCUAAACCUUUUUAUAAAUAUAUACCAACAAAUAAAAGGAUAUAUUAAUUUGAACUUUAUCAACAAACAAAAGAAUAAAUAAAAAUAUAAUUAUCUACUUAUUACAAUUCAAGAUUAAUAAGUUUUCUUUUUUCAAUUUCU